RNAcentral lists this transfer RNA (70 nucleotides) under Caecilia tentaculata. RNAcentral describes it as "tRNA-Ile". The record is from RNAcentral. Lineage: Eukaryota; Metazoa; Chordata; Amphibia; Gymnophiona; Caeciliidae.
AGACAUGUGCCCGAAAACUAAGGGUUACUUUGAUAGAGUAAAUCAUAAGAGCUUAACCUCUUCAUGUCUU